Molecule: ribosomal RNA, 471 nt
Filed under: uncultured bacterium
Lineage: Bacteria
Description: bacterial SSU rRNA
Rfam family: Bacterial small subunit ribosomal RNA
Source: RNAcentral
CGAGGACGAACGCUGGCGGCGCGCCUAACACAUGCAAGUCGAACGAGAGAUGAGGAGCUUGCUCUUCAAAUCGAGUGGCGAACGGGUGAGUAACGCGUGAGGAACCUGCCUCAAAGAGGGGGGACAACAGUUGGAAAUGACUGCUAAUACCGCAUAAGCCCACGGCUCGGCAUCGAGCAGAGGGAAAAGGAGCGAUCCGCUUUGAGAUGGCCUCGCGUCCGAUUAGCUAGUUGGUGAGGUAACGGCCCACCAAGGCGACGAUCGGUAGCCGGACUGAGAGGUUGAACGGCCACAUUGGGACUGAGACACGGCCCAGACUCCUACGGGAGGCAGCAGUGGGGAAUAUUGCACAAUGGGGGAAACCCUGAUGCAGCGACGCCGCGUGGAGGAAGAAGGUCUUCGGAUUGUAAACUCCUGUUGUUGAGGAAGAUAAUGACGGUACUCAACAAGGAAGUGACGGCUAACUACGUG